GAUGAACGCUGGCGGCGUGCCUAAUACAUGCAAGUCGAGCGAACAGAUGAGGAGCUUGCUCCUCUGACGUUAGCGGCGGACGGGUGAGUAACACGUGGAUAACCUACCUAUAAGACUGGGAUAACUUCGGGAAACCGGAGCUACUACUGGAUAAUAUAUUGAACCGCAUGGUUCAAUAGUGAAAGACGGUUUUGCUGUCACUUAUAGAUGGAUCCGCGCCGCAUUAGCUAGUUGGUAAGGUAACGGCUUACCAAGGCAACGAUGCGUAGCCGACCUGAGAGGGUGAUCAGCCACACUGGAACUGAGACACGGUCCAGACUCCUACGGGGGACAGCAGUGGGGAAUAUUGCACAAUGGGCGGAAGCCUGAUGCAGCAACGCCGCGUGCGGGAUGACGGCCUUCGGGUUAUAAACCGCUUUCGCCUGUGACGAAGCGUGAGUGACGGUAAUGGGUAAAGAAGCACCGGCUAACUACGUG
RNAcentral lists this ribosomal RNA (477 nucleotides) under uncultured bacterium. Its description in RNAcentral is "partial 16S ribosomal RNA". It matches the Rfam family "Bacterial small subunit ribosomal RNA", at positions 28 to 507 of the family's 1533-position model. The record is from RNAcentral.